ACCGGGUUCACCUUACGUUGUGCAAUUAGCUGUGUUUUGAAGAACCGUAGCAAUGUCUGGUUGGAAUGCACCUCCCACCCAAUAUAAGAAUCCUUUCAACAGUGUUCCCAGGAGAUGGUCAAACAAUCCUUGCUUUAACUCCUGAAAAUACACAGGGGAAGCUUGUUCCUCUAACUGUGAUACCCUCUGCAGAGCAAGAAUAAUUUUGGAAAAAGAAUAAUCCUUUCAUCUUACAGCACAGCCGAAGCCCGGGAUGCGUGGCCAAAGGAAGAAGGAGCAAGAGAUGAUGAAGGUGGUGCCGAGAACCUGGUCUCUAAAAGAGAGAGAUUCUGGUUCAGGCUUCUGCUCCACCACUGCCGAUUUCAUCCUCCUGAAGGGCCUCCCAAAGCCCAAGCCUUGCACACCCCUCUGCCACGUAUGACUCGAAGCCCCUGCAGUCUCUGAAGAAAGACCUGACUAUGCCGGAGGCAGCCGCCUGCAAUUUCCAGUCUGCUAAGUGAGGCUCUGUGGGGUUUUAAUUCUCCCCUUCACUUCAGAGGCCCCCAUUCCUCCUUUUAAGUACCUCCCUCCUCCUGGCUGUGACAUCUCUGUCAACAUCCUGGGGCAGGAGAUGCGCUGACAUUACGGUUGCCACAGAUUAAUCUAACGGCUAUAUUGAUUUCUCGGUUAUAUCUGCUCCAAGAGAGCCACUGAAAAUCGGCCCUCAGGGUCUGAAAAGAUAAAAGAAGAGAGACGAGGAAUAGAGUCCUGAGUGAGCACCUACAAUGCACUAGACACCAGGAACAGAUUCAGAGGUGAGUGACAUUCAUGUAUUCAUUCAACAAAUAUUUAUUAAGCUCCUACUAUGUGACAGCCAUAUUAGGAACUUGGUUCAGACCAG
Molecule: long non-coding RNA, 880 nt
Filed under: Equus caballus (horse)
Lineage: Eukaryota; Metazoa; Chordata; Mammalia; Perissodactyla; Equidae
Description: lncRNA (ENSECAG00000054957.1)
Source: RNAcentral